UACGAAGGGGGCUAGUGUUGCUCGGAAUCACUGGGCGUAAAGGGUGCGUAGGCAAGUCUUUAAGUCAGGGGUGAAAUCCUGGAGCUCAACUCCAGAACUGCCUUUGAUACUGAGGAUCUUGAGUUCGGGAGAGGUGAGUGGAACUGCGAGUGUAGAGGUGAAAUUCGUAGAUAUUCGCAAGAACACCAGUGGCGAAGGCGGCUCACUGGCCCGAUACUGACGCUGAGGCACGAAAGCGUGGGGAGCAAACAGG
This 253-nucleotide ribosomal RNA is filed under the name uncultured bacterium. Its description in RNAcentral is "partial 16S ribosomal RNA". It matches the Rfam family "Bacterial small subunit ribosomal RNA", at positions 524 to 776 of the family's 1533-position model. The record is from RNAcentral.